This is an RNA transcript of Carassius carassius (crucian carp), 1498 nucleotides long. It is a transcript of the gene named dematin-like, with no coding region annotated. The transcript is spliced from 15 exons. NCBI's taxonomy places the organism in Eukaryota, Metazoa, Chordata, Actinopteri, Cypriniformes, Cyprinidae. The record is from RefSeq and is a predicted model, not a curated record.
UGAUGAGUAAUGAAAUCCUGUCUCUGGGUGUUUCAGGACUGCAUGGUGUAGGGCGAGGAGGCCCUGUAGAUGUGUGUCAUGAAGCUUCUCACCGCCUGAGUGACCUCAUAAAGGGAGCACUUUCUCAUUCAAAAUGAUGAUGCAUAAGCAGUCGGCCCGUACCUCGCCGGGUAGUGUUUGUUCUCUGCGUGGAGGAGGUGUUCCUGGAUCCCCGGCGGUCACUAUAGUGGCCAAAAUGGACAAUCAAGUGAUUGGAUAUAAGGAUCUAGCAGCUAUACCUAAAGACAAGGCCAUCCUGGAUAUAGAGAGGCCUGACCUGAUGAUGUAUGAGCCCCACUUCAGCUAUUCACCGAUGGAGAGGUCAUUAUCUCCUCGUUCAAUCUCCCCUCCUCCAUCUCCAGAGAGCAGUCUAUCAAAGGAUGUCUAUCAGAGGGAUUGGUCAGAGCCCAAGUCAUCAGGCAGCUCGUCUCCAGCAUCCACACAGCUGAGUAAAAGUAUCACCGUCAGCACAAAAGUCCCACACCAGCAACAGCACUUCCACAGGCCAGACAAUGGAACCAACAUAUACAAGAAGCCACCAAUAUAUAAACAAGAUGUCUCAGCAGCUGUUCCACACAGUAAACACAUUGAGGAUUUAAUCAUCGAGUCUUCAAAGUUUCCCGCCGCACAGCCUCCAGACCCCAACAAGCCCUCUAAGAUAGAGACGGACUACUGGCCCUGCCCUCCCUCUCUAGCUGUUAUCGAGAAAGAGCGGAGGAAGAGUGUGGUGUCCAGGGUGGCUGAGGAAGAGGAGGGUGAGGAGGAUGAUAAGUAUGAUGACAAUGAAGACAUGUGGAGACUUCGGCAAAUGCAGAAACAAGAGCUCAACAAGAUUCAAUCCAAUCUAGGAAAAUUGAUACUAAAGGAGGAGAUCGAAAGCUCAGCCCCCGUGCGAAGGAAAACGCGGUCUCUGCCCGACAGGACACACAUGCAACUGGCCUCCAAAUCCCCCUCAUUUCCUUCCUACAGUAAGACUGGCCUGACUAGGUCUGCUGUUUGUGUGUUACAGCUCCAGUCUGCAGAGUUCUCCUCUUCAAACAGUGACAAAGGGACUCAAAAAUGGAGAAGCCCAAAGCAGAAGAAUAGACAGAGGGAAUUCACUCCCUAGUAUGCUGGAACAAAAGAUUUACCCAUAUGAGAUGCUCAUUGUGACACACAGAGGCAGAAACAAACUCCCUCCUGGUGUAGACAGGACAAGACUGGAGAGGCACCUGUCACCUGAGGAAUUCCAGAAUGUCUUUGGAAUGUCCAUUGAGGAAUUCGACCGGCUCUCCUUUUGGAAGCGGAACGACCUGAAAAAGAAAGUCUCUCUCUUCUAGUAGUCAGAGAAACACGCUCUUAUACAAACACUGUCACGCGUCUGCACUUCCGCUUGUGAAAACAAUACAGGCGAUACAAGUUAAGGAAAGAUGAGGAAUGUGAAAUGAGGAAUGUGAUUAUGGAGCCAGCAAAAACAAAA